RNAcentral lists this ribosomal RNA (274 nucleotides) under uncultured bacterium. Its description in RNAcentral is "partial 16S ribosomal RNA". It matches the Rfam family "Bacterial small subunit ribosomal RNA", at positions 523 to 796 of the family's 1533-position model. The record is from RNAcentral.
AUACGGAGGGUGCAAGCGUUAAUCGGAAUUACUGGGCGUAAAGCGUUCGUAGGCGGUUAUUUAAGUUAGAUGUGAAAGCCCCGGGCUUAACCUGGGAACUGCAUUUAAAACUGGAUAACUAGAGUUUAGGAGAGGGAAGUGGAAUUUCAGGUGUAGUAGUGAAAUGCGUAGAGAUCUGAAGGAACACCAGUGGCGAAGGCGACUUCCUGGACUAGAACUGACGCUGAGGAACGAAAGCGUGGGUAGCAAACGGGAUUAGAAACCCCGGUAGUCC